UAGGUACCGUCAACCAGACGGCCUAUUGGACCAUCUGACUUUCUUCCCUAACAACAGAGGUUUACGACCGAAGGCCUUCAUCCCUCACGCGGCAUUGCUCCGUCAGGCUUUCGCCCAUUGCGGAAGAUUCCCU
Molecule: ribosomal RNA, 133 nt
Filed under: uncultured bacterium
Lineage: Bacteria
Description: partial 16S ribosomal RNA
Source: RNAcentral